AGAGUUUGAUCCUGGCUCAGGACGAACGCUGGCGGCGUGCUUAACACAUGCAAGUCGGACGGUUUGCGCUGGAAGGUUCGCUGGAAGGCGCAGAUAGUGGCGGACGGGUGAGUAACGCGUGAGGACAUGUCUGCAGGAGGGGGAUAACGUUUGGAAACGGACGCUAAGACCCCGUAAGCCGGGAGGUAAAAGUGGCGAAAGCCAGCCUGUGGAGUGACUCGCGUCCUAUCAGCUAGUUGGCGGGGUGAAGGCCCACCAAGGCGAUGACGGGUAGCCGACCUGAGAGGGUGGCCGGCCACACUGGAACUGAGAUACGGUCCAGACUCCUACGGGAGGCAGCAGUGGGGAAUAUUGGGCAAUGGGCGGAAGCCUGACCCAGCGACGCCGCGUGGGGGAAGAAGUCUUUCGGGAUGUAAACCCUUGUCGUACGGGACGAAGGAAGUGACGGCACCGUACGAGGAAGCCCCGGCAAACUACGUGCCAGCAGCCGCGGUAAUAC
This 499-nucleotide ribosomal RNA is filed under the name uncultured bacterium. RNAcentral describes it as "bacterial SSU rRNA". It matches the Rfam family "Bacterial small subunit ribosomal RNA", at positions 8 to 526 of the family's 1533-position model. The record is from RNAcentral.